AUCUAAAUAGCUUAUAUAGAGCGCAGCCUUGAAACUGCUGAGGAGAUAGUUUAUCUUUAGAUA
RNAcentral lists this transfer RNA (63 nucleotides) under Anthonomus eugenii (pepper weevil). Its description in RNAcentral is "tRNA-Phe". Lineage: Eukaryota; Metazoa; Arthropoda; Insecta; Coleoptera; Curculionidae. The record is from RNAcentral.